GCCCACGUCGUCUAGCGGCCAGGACGUCGGCUUUUCAACCCGACGGUGCGGGUUCGACUCCCGCCGUGGGCA
RNAcentral lists this transfer RNA (72 nucleotides) under Kofleriaceae bacterium. Its description in RNAcentral is "tRNA-Glu". It matches the Rfam family "tRNA". From Rfam's summary of the family: Transfer RNA (tRNA) molecules are approximately 80 nucleotides in length. The record is from RNAcentral. Lineage: Bacteria; Pseudomonadati; Myxococcota; Haliangiales; Kofleriaceae.